ACGGGAGGCAGCAGUGGGGAAUAUUGCACAAUGGGGGAAACCCUGAUGCAGCAACGCCGCGUGAGUGAAGAAGUAUUUCGGUAUGUAAAGCUCUAUCAGCAGGGAAGAUAAUGACGGUACCUGACUAAGAAGCUCCGGCUAAAUACGUGCCAGCAGCCGCGGUAAUACGUAUGGUGCAAGCGUUAUCCGGAUUUACUGGGUGUAAAGGGAGCGUAGGCGGUCAUGCAAGUCUGAUGUGAAAACCCGGGGCUCAACUUCGGGAUUGCAUUGGAGACUGUAAGACUAGAGUGUCGGAGGGGUAAGUGGAAUUCCUAGUGUAGCGGUGAAAUGCGUAGAUAUUAGGAGGAACAUCAGUGGCGAAGGCGGCUUACUGGGCUUUAACUGACGCUGAGGCUCGAAAGCGUGGGGAGCAAACAGGAUUAGAUACCCUGGUA
RNAcentral lists this ribosomal RNA (434 nucleotides) under uncultured Lachnospiraceae bacterium. Its description in RNAcentral is "partial 16S ribosomal RNA". It matches the Rfam family "Bacterial small subunit ribosomal RNA", at positions 341 to 792 of the family's 1533-position model. Lineage: Bacteria; Bacillati; Bacillota; Clostridia; Lachnospirales; Lachnospiraceae. The record is from RNAcentral.